GGAGAACUGAAACAUCUCAGUACCCCGAGGAAAAGAAAUCAACCGAGAUUCCCCUAGUAGCGGCGAGCGAACGGGGAACAGCCCAGAGUCUUAAUCAAUAGCAGCAUCAGGAGAACGGUCUGGAAAGUCCGGCAGUAAAGGGUGAUAGCCCCGUAUCCGAAGAUGCUGUUAUUGUGAACUCGACGAGUAGGGCGGGACACGUGUUAUCCUGUCUGAAUAUGGGGGACCAUCCUCCAAGGCUAAAUACUCCUGAUUGACCGAUAGUGAACCAGUACCGUGAGGGGAAAGGCGAAAAAGAACCCCGGCGAGGGGAGUGAAAAAGAACCUGAAACCGUGUACGUACAAGCAGUAGGAGCCUCUUUAUGGGGUGACUGCGUACCUUUUGUAUAAUGGGUCAGCGACUUAUAUUCUGUAGCAAGGUUAACCGUAUAGGGGAGCCGUAGGGAAACCGAGUCUUAACUGGGCGAAUGAGUUGCAGGGUAUAGACCCGAAACCCGGUGAUCUAUCCAUGGGCAGGUUGAAGGUUGGGUAACACUAACUGGAGGACCGAACCGACUAAUGUUGAAAAA
RNAcentral lists this ribosomal RNA (569 nucleotides) under Shigella sp. FC1967. Its description in RNAcentral is "bacterial LSU rRNA". It matches the Rfam family "Bacterial large subunit ribosomal RNA", at positions 187 to 796 of the family's 2925-position model. The record is from RNAcentral. Lineage: Bacteria; Pseudomonadati; Pseudomonadota; Gammaproteobacteria; Enterobacterales; Enterobacteriaceae.